CAGACAAAAAAACCCCCAAAGCUCAGAGCACAGAAGUGAUCUGCCCAGCACAGGGUUUAAGCGGGGCCCUCUCCCCCUCAGGGUGCCGGGGCUGUUUUUGACCUGCUUGCCCUGGACCAGCCUCUUCAUGUGACAAGUACUGGUUUCUUACAUGUCACAGGAAGCUGAACUGAGUUCCAGGGCAGAGUCCAGCAGAGUGUGGGUCUCAUUGUGUGGCUGUGUGACAGAGGACCCAGGACCUGUCCACUUGAGCAAAACUGAGGGGACUGGGAUAAAGCAAAGCUUGGACGGGACAGAGGGGACCCUACAGGCUGUCUGCCCCAGGUCUGAGGCAGGACUCAGCCGUGAGGGUGACAGGAUGGACGCCUGGCCCUGUGGUGUCCACACGGCUGCUCUCACAAGUGAUCAGGGCUGAGUCUGCCCCUGCCCCUGCCCCAUGCCCAGAAGCUGUCACGCAACCCCACUUCCAGCCCAAGUGGACACUUCAAGAAACCUGCCUUUGCCUCGCCCACUUGCCCCGGGAAUUGUUUACUUGUUUCAGAUAAAUCCUCAGUCCACCCAGUGCAGAAUGAAAUGAAAUUUGGUAAGUGAUGCAGCACAGCCCAACCUAUAAUUCCAACUCCAGAGAUUAAUUAAACCAGACACUGUAAUUAGAUCGGCCAGCCAGCUGGUUUGUGUACAAGCAGCCCCGCCUUAUAAACACCCAACUGACGUACAGUUUGCACUUAUGAACAGAGGCUAUUACAGGUAAUAGGUAACGUACCUGUGUACAUACAAACUCAAGAAACAGCCCACAGACCUAUCUCAUUCGUGACUGGGCACUGCCUGUAUGUCUUUUUAAAAUCUUGUGCUGGAGAGAACAGCAACAGCACCAGCUGUUCCUUCAUCCUCUAGAUGCCGAACUGGGCUGGGCAGGAACUGUUCUCCCUGUCCAACAAGUGCAAACACAACCCUGGGGGUGCACCAGCCUCCAGACCUGCGUGUGGAGGAGGCCGACCUGGAAACGUCAGCACAGACAUUUGUAUCCCAAGCCUUUGACCUCCAACAGCGGGAUAAAGAAAUAGCACAGACAUACCCUGCCCGCCCUGUAACCUCCCAGCCAGCCAGGAGGUUCUAACUAGGGAACAGUCAUUGGCAAUUCACUGUUUAUGGACAUCAUAAAACAGACAUUCAGCACAAGGACUACAUUUCCUUUAUAGCCCAGGAGCACAAUAAAGUUAAAUGAUUCACAGUGA
Otolemur garnettii (small-eared galago) is the source of this 1235-nucleotide long non-coding RNA. RefSeq lists it as uncharacterized. The record is from RefSeq and is a predicted model, not a curated record. The transcript has 2 exons. NCBI's taxonomy places the organism in Eukaryota, Metazoa, Chordata, Mammalia, Primates, Galagidae.